GUGCUUGCUUUGGCAGCACAUACAUUAAAAUUGGAAUUAUAGAGAGGUUAACAUGGCCCCUGUGCAAGGAUGACAUGCAGAUUCAUGAAGCAUUCCAGAUUANU
This is a small nuclear RNA of Vulpes vulpes (red fox), 104 nucleotides long. Lineage: Eukaryota; Metazoa; Chordata; Mammalia; Carnivora; Canidae. The record is from Ensembl.